RNAcentral lists this ribosomal RNA (238 nucleotides) under uncultured bacterium. Its description in RNAcentral is "partial 16S ribosomal RNA". It matches the Rfam family "Bacterial small subunit ribosomal RNA", at positions 1254 to 1500 of the family's 1533-position model. The record is from RNAcentral.
CCAGCAAUGGGAUGCGAAUCUCGAAAGCCUGUCUCAGUUCGGAUUGGAGGCUGAAACCCGCCUCCAUGAAGUUGGAUUCGCUAGUAAUCGCGCAUCAGCCAUGGCGCGGUGAAUACGUUCCCGGGCCUCGUACACACCGCCCGUCAAGCCAUGGGAGCCGGGGGUGCCUGAAGUUCGUGACCGCAAGGAGCGACCUAGGGCAAAACUGGUGACUGGGGCUAAGUCGUAACAAGGUACC